Potamilus streckersoni is the source of this 76-nucleotide non-coding RNA. The record is from the annotation of a GenBank genome assembly. NCBI's taxonomy places the organism in Eukaryota, Metazoa, Mollusca, Bivalvia, Unionida, Unionidae.
GUCACUCUGGUGGCCUAGUGGUUAAAACAUCCACCUUGGAUGUAGGAGGUCAUGGAUUCAAACCCUGUCUGAGACA